ACGAGCCGCCCGAGGUACUGACCCUGCUGAUGGAGAACAGCAGCCCUGGCCGGUCGGAGCACACGCCCGUGAAACAGAAGCGCAGCUUCCAGUAGAAGAGGUGUUCCCAGAUGAAGAUCCCCGUGAGCCACAGUGUCUCCAGCUCCUCCAUCUCGCCUGGACAGAGGACAAGAGCCACAGGCAGUGAGGAGCACGGCAUGCACUCUGGUUCUGGACACACGCGGGUGACCCACAGCUGGACAUGCAACCUGCAGGCAAGUUCCUGAGCGCACCAUGUCUGCAUGCACUCACUCGAUGGGCGAAGCUAAUAACGGUAACAAUACCUACCUGGUCUCGUGAGGAGGACGAAGUGAGAUAAUGGA
This is a long non-coding RNA of Leopardus geoffroyi (Geoffroy's cat), 362 nucleotides long. RefSeq lists it as uncharacterized. The transcript is spliced from 2 exons. Lineage: Eukaryota; Metazoa; Chordata; Mammalia; Carnivora; Felidae. The record is from RefSeq and is a predicted model, not a curated record.